GAGGCAUCUCCUGUGGGUGGAAAGAACUUCGGUCAAGGAUGAGCUCGCGGCCUAUCAGCUUGUUGGUGAGGUAAUGGCUCACCAAGGCGACGACGGGUAGCCGGCCUGAGAGGGUGACCGGCCACACUGGGACUGAGACACGGCCCAGACUCCUACGGGAGGCAGCAGUGGGGAAUAUUGCACAAUGGGCGCAAGCCUGAUGCAGCAACGCCGCGUGAGGGACGACGGCCUUCGGGUUGUAAACCUCUUUUAGCAGGGAAGAAGCGAGAGUGACGGUACCUGCAGAAAAAGCACCGGCUAACUACGUGCCAGCAGCCGCGGUAAUACGUAGGGUGCAAGCGUUGUCCGGAAUUAUUGGGCGUAAAGAGCUCGUAGGCGGUCUGUCGCGUCUGCUGUGAAAACCCGAGGCUCAACCUCGGGCUUGCAGUGGGUACGGGCAGACUAGAGUGCGGUAGGGGAGAUUGGAAUUCCUGGUGUAGCGGUGGAAUGCGCAGAUAUCAGGAGGAACACCGAUGGCGAAGGCAGAUCUCUGGGCCGUAACUGACGCUGAGGAGCGAAAGCGUGGGGAGCAAACAGGCUUAGAUACCCUGGUAGUCCACGCCGUAAACGUUGGGAACUAGAUGUGGGGACCAUUCCACGGUCUCCGUGUCGUAGCUAACGCAUUAAGUUCCCCGCCUGGGGAGUACGGCCGCAAGGCUAAAACUCAAAGGAAUUGACGGGGGCCCGCACAAGCGGCGGAGCAUGCGGAUUAAUUCGAUGCAACGCGAAGAACCUUACCAAGGCUUGACAUAUACGAGAACGCGCUGGAGACAGCGAACUCUUUGGACACUCGUAUACAGGUGGUGCAUGGUUGUCGUCAGCUCGUGUCGUGAGAUGUUGGGUUAAGUCCCGCAACGAGCGCAACCCUCGUCCUAUGUUGCCAGCACGUCAUGGUGGGAACUCAUGGGAUACUGCCGGGGUCAACUCGGAGGAAGGUGGGGAUGAGGUCAAAUCAUCAUGCCCCUUAUGUCUUGGGCUUCACGCAUGCUACAAUGGCCGGUACAAUGGGCUGCGAUACCGUAAGGUGGAGCGAAUCCCAAAAAGCCGGUCUCAGUUCGGAUUGAGGUCUGCAACUCGACCUCAUGAAGUCGGAGUCGCUAGUA
This 1142-nucleotide ribosomal RNA is filed under the name Agrococcus terreus. RNAcentral describes it as "bacterial SSU rRNA". It matches the Rfam family "Bacterial small subunit ribosomal RNA", at positions 185 to 1340 of the family's 1533-position model. The record is from RNAcentral. Lineage: Bacteria; Bacillati; Actinomycetota; Actinomycetes; Micrococcales; Microbacteriaceae.